This 711-nucleotide ribosomal RNA is filed under the name uncultured bacterium. RNAcentral describes it as "bacterial SSU rRNA". It matches the Rfam family "Bacterial small subunit ribosomal RNA", at positions 48 to 725 of the family's 1533-position model. The record is from RNAcentral.
CUAAUACAUGCAAGUCGAGCGCGGGAAGCAAGUAGAUCCUCAUCUGAGGUGACACUUGUGGAACGAGCGGCGGACGGGUGAGUAACACGUGGGCAACCUGCCUGUAAGAUCGGGAUAACUCGCGGAAACGUGAGCUAAUACCGGAUAAUACUUUUUCCUGCAUGGGAGGAAGUUGAAAGAUGGCUUUGGCUAUCACUUACAGAUGGGCCCGCGGCGCAUUAGCUAGUUGGUGGGGUAAAGGCUCACCAAGGCGACGAUGCGUAGCCGACCUGAGAGGGUGAUCGGCCACACUGGGACUGAGACACGGCCCAGACUCCUACGGGAGGCAGCAGUAGGGAAUCUUCCGCAAUGGACGAAAGUCUGACGGAGCAACGCCGCGUGAGUGAUGAAGGUCUUCGGAUCGUAAAACUCUGUUGUGAGGGAAGAACAAGUAUUGUUCGAACAGGGCAGUACCUUGACGGUACCUCACCAGAAAGCCCCGGCUAACUACGUGCCAGCAGCCGCGGUAAUACGUAGGGGGCAAGCGUUGUCCGGAAUUAUUGGGCGUAAAGCGCGCGCAGGCGGUCUUUUAAGUCUGAUGUGAAAUCUUGCGGCUUAACCGCAGGCGGUCAUUGGAAACUGGAGGACUUGAGUGCAGAAGAGGAGAGUGGAAUUCCACGUGUAGCGGUGAAAUGCGUAGAGAUGUGGAGGAACACCAGUGGCGAAGGCGAC